GAUGAACGCUAGCUACAGGCUUAACACAUGCAAGUCGAGGGGAAACGAUAGAGAAAGCUUGCUUUUUCUAGGCGUCGACCGGCGCACGGGUGAGUAACGCGUAUCCAACCUGUCCACCACUUGGGGAUAACCUUGCGAAAGUAAGACUAAUACCCAAUGACAUCUCUAGAAGACAUCUGAAGGAGAUUAAAGAUUUAUCGGUGAUGGAUGGGGAUGCGUCUGAUUAGCUUGUUGGCGGGGUAACGGCCCACCAAAGCGACGAUCAGUAGGGGUUCUGAGAGGAAGGUCCCCCACAUUGGAACUGAGACACGGUCCAAACUCCUACGGGAGGCAGCAGUGAGGAAUAUUGGUCAAUGGGUGAGAGCCUGAACCAGCCAAGUAGCGUGCAGGAUGACGGCCCUAUGGGUUGUAAACUGCUUUUAUAAGGGAAUAAAGUGAGCCUCGUGAGGCUUUUUGCAUGUACCUUAUGAAUAAGGACCGGCUAAUUCCGUGCCAGCCGCCGCCGUAA
Molecule: ribosomal RNA, 508 nt
Filed under: uncultured bacterium
Lineage: Bacteria
Description: partial 16S ribosomal RNA
Rfam family: Bacterial small subunit ribosomal RNA
Source: RNAcentral